Molecule: ribosomal RNA, 497 nt
Filed under: uncultured bacterium
Lineage: Bacteria
Description: partial 16S ribosomal RNA
Rfam family: Bacterial small subunit ribosomal RNA
Source: RNAcentral
AUUGAACGCUGGCGGAAUGCUUUACACAUGCAAGUCGAACGGUAGAGGGGGCAACCCCUCGAGAGUGGCGAACGGGUGAGUAAUACAUCGGAACGUGCCCAGUCGUGGGGGAUAACGUAGCGAAAGUUACGCUAAUACCGCAUACGAUCUACGGAUGAAAGCGGGGGACCGUAAGGCCUCGCGCGAUUGGAGCGGCCGAUGUCAGAGUUAGGUAGUCGGUGAGGUAAAGGCUCACCAAGCCGACGAUCUGUAGCUGGUCUGAGAGGACGACCAGCCACACUGGGACUGAGACACGGCCCAGACUCCGACGGGAGGCAGCAGUGGGGGAUUUUGGACAAUGGGCGCAAGCCUGAUCCAGCCAUUCCGCGUGCAGGACGAAGGCCUUCGGGUUGUAAACUGCUUUUGUACGGAACGAAAAGGUCUCUCUUAAUACGGGGGACUCAUGACGGUACCGUAAGAAUAAGCACCGGCUAACUACGUGCCAGCCGCCGCCGUAA